CAACGAUGACAACAACGACAAUGAUGAGAAAAUGAGAAGAACGUUACCAAAAACAACAACAAUGAGAAAAACGACAUUAACAACAACAGCGACAACAACGACAACAACAACAGCAACAACAACAACAACAACAACAACAACAGCAACAACAACAACAACAACAAAAACUACUACUGCUACUACUACUACUACUACUACUACUACUACUACUACUACUACUAC
Molecule: long non-coding RNA, 222 nt
Filed under: Hordeum vulgare
Lineage: Eukaryota; Viridiplantae; Streptophyta; Magnoliopsida; Poales; Poaceae
Description: long non-coding RNA (HVUL_LNC021056)
Source: RNAcentral